RNAcentral lists this ribosomal RNA (253 nucleotides) under uncultured bacterium. Its description in RNAcentral is "partial 16S ribosomal RNA". It matches the Rfam family "Bacterial small subunit ribosomal RNA", at positions 524 to 776 of the family's 1533-position model. The record is from RNAcentral.
UACGAAGGGAGCUAGCGUUGCUCGGAAUCACUGGGCGUAAAGCGCACGUAGGCGGCUUUCUAAGUCAGGGGUGAAAUCCUGGAGCUCAACUCCAGAACUGCCUUUGAUACUGGAGAGCUUGAGUCCGGGAGAGGUGAGUGGAACUCCGAGUGUAGAGGUGAAAUUCGUAGAUAUUCGGAAGAACACCAGUGGCGAAGGCGGCUCACUGGCCCGGUACUGACGCUGAGGUGCGAAAGCGUGGGGAGCAAACAGG